GUGUGACUUCGGCCAUCGCUCUGGUAGUCCCGGUAGCUGACGAACUCCUGCCAAGGGCAGCGGUAGCCCUUGGAGAUGGCGGUGUGGUUGAACUUCUCUGGCGGGACGCCCUUCAGCGGCUCCGCAUAGCCUAGGGGCGCGGGGGGAAGGGAGCGCCUCCGUUCUUCCACCCUCAGCCCCCAACCCCACCUCGCCCCACCCCCAUUCCGCGGACGCGGUUGGAGGAGGGAAGAUCGGAGUUAGGGGAGAGGACGGCGGGAAUGGGAAGCCACAGUUGCUCCAGCACAGGAGACCCCUCCCCAUCCCAGGAAACACGGAGGACUGCAGUGAGGAAGCCACGAGUUCGCAGCGCGGACGAGUUUCACUCUUGUUGCCCAGGCUGGAGUGCAAUGGCAUGAUCUCGGCUCACUGCAACCUCUGCCUCCCGGGUUCAAGCGAUUCUCCUGCCUCAGCCUCCCGAGUAGCUGGAAUUGCAGGCAUGCACCAUCACGCCUGGCUAAUUUUGUAUUUAUAGUAGAGAUGGGGUUUCUCCAUGUUGGUCAGGCUGGUCUCGAGCUCCCAACCUCAGGUCAUCCGCUUGCCUCAGUCUCCCAAAGUGCUGGGAUUACAGGCGUGAGCCACCUCCCCCAGCUGAGCUCAAUAUUUAAAAAAAAAAAAUGGCAGGCACAGUGGCUCACAACUAUAAUCCCAGCACUUGCAGAGGGCAAAGUGGGUGGAUUGCUUGGGCCCAGGAGUUCAAGACCAGCCUGGGCAAUAUAGCAAGACCCUGUCUCUAUUAAAAAAUAAAAAAAGAUAAAAUCUAUUUGACUGAGUAUUUCUAUUUCUAGGAAUUUAUUCUCGGGGAAAAAGUUGAAUAAAUAUGUCCAAAGAUA
RNAcentral lists this long non-coding RNA (872 nucleotides) under Homo sapiens (human). RNAcentral's name for it is "MYOZ3 antisense RNA 1, transcript variant 6 (MYOZ3-AS1)". The record is from RNAcentral. Lineage: Eukaryota; Metazoa; Chordata; Mammalia; Primates; Hominidae.